GCUGCUGUAGCUCAGUUGGUAGAGCACUUCCUUGGUAAGGAAGAGGUCAUGAGUUCGAGUCUCAUCAGCAGCUC
This 74-nucleotide transfer RNA is filed under the name Bythopirellula goksoeyrii. RNAcentral describes it as "Bythopirellula goksoyri tRNA-Thr". It matches the Rfam family "tRNA". Rfam says of the family: Transfer RNA (tRNA) molecules are approximately 80 nucleotides in length. Lineage: Bacteria; Pseudomonadati; Planctomycetota; Planctomycetia; Pirellulales; Lacipirellulaceae. The record is from RNAcentral.